AGAGUUUGAUCAUGGCUCAGGAUGAACGCUAGCUACAGGCUUAACGCAUGCAAGUCGAGGGGCAGCAUGGUCUUAGCUUGCUAAGGCCGAUGGCGACCGGCGCACGGGUGAGUAACACGUAUCCAACCUGCCGUCUACUCUUGGACAGCCUUCUGAAAGGAAGAUUAAUACAAGAUGGCAUCAUGAGUCCGCAUGUUCACAUGAUUAAAGGUAUUCCGGUAGACGAUGGGGAUGCGUUCCAUUAGAUAGUAGGCGGGGUAACGGCCCACCUAGUCUUCGAUGGAUAGGGGUUCUGAGAGGAAGGUCCCCCACAUUGCAACUGAGACACGGUCCAAACUCCUACGGGGCGCAGCAG
Molecule: ribosomal RNA, 355 nt
Filed under: uncultured bacterium
Lineage: Bacteria
Description: bacterial SSU rRNA
Rfam family: Bacterial small subunit ribosomal RNA
Source: RNAcentral